This 478-nucleotide ribosomal RNA is filed under the name uncultured bacterium. Its description in RNAcentral is "partial 16S ribosomal RNA". It matches the Rfam family "Bacterial small subunit ribosomal RNA", at positions 28 to 523 of the family's 1533-position model. The record is from RNAcentral.
GACGAACGCUGGCGGCGUGCUUAACACAUGCAAGUCGAACGGUAAGGCCCUUCGGGGUACACGAGUGGCGAACGGGUGAGUAACACGUGGGUGAUCUGCCCUGCACUUCGGGAUAAGCCUGGGAAACUGGGUCUAAUACCGGAUAGGACUCCGGACUGCAUGGUCUGGGGUGGAGAGCUUUUGCGGUGUGGGAUGGGCCCGCGGCCUAUCAGCUUGUUGGUGGGGUGAUGGCCUACCAAGGCGACGACGGGUAGCCGGCCUGAGAGGGUGACCGGGCACACUGGGACUGAGAGACGGCCCAGACUCCUACGGGAGGCAGCAGUGGGGAAUAUUGCACAAUGGGCGCAAGCCUGAUGCAGCGACGCCGCGUGAGGGAUGACGGCCUUCGGGUUGUAAACCUCUUUCAGCAUCGACGAAGCGAAAGUGACGGUAGGUGCAGAAGAAGGACCGGCCAACUACGUGCCAGCAGCCGCGGUAA